This 396-nucleotide ribosomal RNA is filed under the name Triticum aestivum (bread wheat). RNAcentral's name for it is "partial small subunit ribosomal RNA". The record is from RNAcentral. Lineage: Eukaryota; Viridiplantae; Streptophyta; Magnoliopsida; Poales; Poaceae.
AUGGGGAGGUUGGUCUACACCAAUUCGGUGGUGACUGCUACUGCCACAUUCUUUUUGACAUCAUUUCAACCGGAUAAGUGGCUGAUUAAAAAGGUGGACAAGCUUAGAAAGAACUUCCUUUGGGAGGCGGAUGACGCAUCGAUUGGUGGGAAAAGUCUGGUAAACUGGAAGCAAGUUUGCUCUCCAAAGAGAUAUGGAGGUUUGGGCAUAAAAAAUAUCGAGUGCUUUAGCCGAGCACUGAGACUUCGUUGGGAAUGGUACAGAUGGGGGGACAGAGAUAGACCGUGGAAAGGGACAGAUACGCCAUGCGAUAGUGUUGAUAAGCAGCUCUUCUCCAGCUGCACUAAGGUCUCUUUGGGCGAUGGAACUUUGGCUAGCUUCUGGAGGGACAGGUGG